RNAcentral lists this long non-coding RNA (582 nucleotides) under Daucus carota (carrot). Its description in RNAcentral is "long non-coding RNA (DCAR_LNC002200)". Lineage: Eukaryota; Viridiplantae; Streptophyta; Magnoliopsida; Apiales; Apiaceae. The record is from RNAcentral.
CGUACUCCGGAUCGAAAAAAUCAAAACACGAAAAAUGUCCGGAAUAUUCAAAUUAGGCUAAAGGUAAGUUUUCUCGAAAUUUCCGGGAAGAAUAUUAAUAAUUAAUCAUAACUAAUUAACAAACAAAUUCACCAAUACCACUUAAUCACAUAACACAUAUAUUCACAUAAUAUUCAUACAGAAUUUUCAAAACAAUAUAUGAAAAUCAGUUUUGAAAAUACAAUUAUUUAUCAAUAACACAAUAACCCGGGGUUUAAAUAUAAAACUUUGAAAACUCAUUAAACUGGAAUAAAAUAUUACAUCUUAUUCCUUUCCUUUUUAAGAAAAUCAUUUAUAAUAUUAAUAAAAAUAUUUAAAAGUCCGGGUCACUACAAUCUACCCUCCUUAUAGGGAUUCCGUCCUCGGAAUCAGAGAAAGAAGGAGGACGCAGAAUCUGUAAAAUCCAUAUUAAUCCACGAAACAAGUAUAAUCACAUACAACUAUUCACAUAAUCACAUCAAUAUUCAAUUAGAGGCAACAAUAAUAUCUAGACAAAUAGAUUUAUAAUAAUCAAAUCUAAAUUUAAUAAUAUGGGAUAUUACA